GGCCAACUAAAGGUUCAAAUGGUGUCAGUCAUGUUAUGUCUGUGAAUUGUUCAUGCGUGGUUAUCCUUGUUUAUGUGAGAUCUUGAAUAUGAAAGUGUAGCAUAUGGGAGAAUGUGUGGGUGUGUGUGAUCUAUUCCUGUGUGUUGACUUUGAAGUGUUCCGUGUGAACUCUCAGGAUCAUCUAGAGCCGUCUGUACCACCCGUCUGUAUUCCCUGAACUUAAACUGUGUCCUGCAGUGGGAUUGUCCACAGGCGAACGCUACCACCACCUACACCGUCCAAACUAAGACUCAGGGGUGUGUCUGACUCCUCAUUGCUCACUAUUGACUUAAUGGACUAGUAUCUAGCUCUAAGGUUCCUCUCAGCUAAAUGCUGUUCUAAGAUUCGGGGUUCUGUCUGUCUGCUGUCUCCAUUGACCUAAUCGAUCUAGCUCAAAUAGUAUGCUGUAUUACUGUUCUGCUAUUUUCUAGAAUUGGUAGUGAAUUGUUUCCUAGAAAACCACUACAUUGACAUAUCUUCUGUAAUGUUUGUUCUGUGUGUAACUAUGUUAGUCAUUUUAAGUAGAGUAUUUUUUAAAUCAAGUCAUUGAAGGUUGUAAUCAGCACUGGGUUUCUGAUUAGUCAUUUACUUUACAAUAAGCUAAUAUGGAUAACUGUUGUGUGUAUGAGGGGAAAGCUAGCCUAGAAAGGAAAUGGAAAGCAAAUUUAUUAGGUGAACAAAGCGCUCUAGCGAUGCGGAGAGGAGCCGGCGAGAGGGGUAGCGUGAGAGCGGAGAUUUUCAAACUUGUGGUUUUUGCAGAGAAACCUCAAAGGGUUUUAAUCAGAGGGAUGAAUCAGUCACUCGAGUCCAUGGUUGGUUGACUUUAUGGGUAGAUGGGUUCCGAUAGAUGGGCACUAUUGUUUUCUACCACAGCCGUGAAAACACCCUGGCUGCUCCUCUCCCCUGCCACCUGGUUUCAGUCAUAACCAUCACCACCCAUGUCGUCCAACAACCAGUGUGUGUCUGUUAUCUUGUGUGGGUAUUGCAUAUUUUCAGAAAGGACAUUUCCACAUACAUUUUAGAAGAUCGGAAUAAUAAAUACUACAUAGAAACAUACACAAACACGGAGAUUAACUAUGUGUACAGUAUAUAGUACCAGUCAAGUUUGUACACCACCUCAUUCCAGGGUUUUUCUUGAUUGACUAUUUUCUACAUUGUAGAAUAGUGAAGACAUCAAAACUAUGAAAUAACACAUGGAAUCAUGUAGUAACCCAAAGUGUUAAACGAAUCAAAAUAUAUUUGAGAUUCUUCAAAAUAGCCACUCUUUGCCUUGAUAACAGCUUUGCAUUCUCUCAACCAACUUUGAGGUAGACACCUGGAAUGCAUUUCAAUUAACAGGUGUGCCUUGUUAAAAGUACAUUUGUGGAAUGUCUUUCUUUCCUUAAUGCAUUUGAGCCAAUCAGUUGUGUUGUGACAAGGUAGGGGUGGUAUACAGAGGACGGCACUAUUUGGUAAAAUACCAUGUCCAUAUUAUGGCAAGAACAGCUCACAUAUGCAAAGAGAAACGACAGUCCAUUACAUUAAGAUAUGAAGGUCAGUCAAUCUGGAAAAUUUCAAGGACUUUGAAAGCAAAAACCAUCAAGCGCUAUGAUGAAACUGGCUCUCAUGAGGACCGCCACAGGAAAGGAAGACCCAGAGUUACCUCUGCUGCAGAGGAUAAGUUCAUUAGUUACCAGCCACAGAAAUUGCAGCCCAAAUAAAUGUUUCACUGAGUUCACGUAACAGACCGAUCUCGACAUCAACUGUUCAGAGGAGACUGCAUGAAUCAGGCCUUCAUGGCCGAAUUGCUGCAAAGAAACCAUGAUUUCCGGAUGUGUGGUUCCCACCGUGCAGCAUGGAGGUGUGAUGGUGUGCUUUGCUGGUGACACUGAUUUAUUUAGACUUCAAGGCACACUUAACCAGCAUGGCUACCACAGCAUUUUGCAGUGAUACCAUCCCAACUGGUUUGCGCUUAGUGGGACUAUCAUUUGUUUUUCAACAGAACAAUGACCCAAAACACACCUCCAGGCUGUAUAAGGGUGAUUUGACCAAGAAGGAGAGUGCUGCAUCAGAUGACCUAGCCUCCACAAUCCCCCGACCUCAACCCAGUUUGGGAUGAGUUGGACCGCAGAGUCAAAUCAAAUGUUAUUUGUCACAUACACAUGGUUAGCAGAUGUUAAUGCGAUUGUAGCGAAAUGCUUGUGAUUCUAGUUCCGACAAUGCAGUAAUAACCGACGUAAUCUAACUUAACAAUUUCACAACUACCUUAUACACACGUGUAAAGGGAUGAGGAAUAUGUACAUAAAAAAAUAUGAAUGGGUGAUGGUAUAGAAUGGCAUAGGCAAGAUGCAGUAGAUGGUUUCGAGUACAGUAUAUACAUACGAGAUGAGUAAUGUAGGGUAUGCAAACAUUAAGUGGCAUUGUUUUAAGUGGCUAGUGAUUCAUAUAUUUUUCCAUUAUUAAAGUGGCUAGAGAUUAGUCAGUAUGUUGGCAGCAGCCACUCAAUGUUAGUGGUGGCUGUUUAACAGUCUGAUGGCCUUGAGAUAGAAGCUGUUUUUCAGUCUCUCGGUCCCAGCUUUGAUGCACCUGUACUGACCUCGCCAUCUGGAUGAUAGCGGGGUGAACAGGCAGUGGCUCGGGUAGUUGUCCUUGAUGAUCUUUAUGGCCUUCCUGUGACAUCGGGUGGUGUAGGUGUCUUGGAGGGCAGGUAGUUUGCCCCCGGUGAUGCGUUGUGCAGACCUCACUACCUUCUGGAGAGCCUUACGGUUGAGGGCGGUGCAGUUGCCGUACCAGGCGGUGAUACAGCCCGACAGGAUGCUCUCGAUUUGUGCAUCUGUAGAAGUUUGAGUGCUUUUGGUGACGAGACAAAUUUCUUCAGCCUCCUGAGGUUGAAGAGGCGCUCCUGCGCCACCUUCACCACGCUGUCUGUCUGGGUGGACCAAUUCAGUUUGUGUGUGUGUGAACUCUUUCAAGACUGUUGGAAAAGCAUUCCUCAUGAAGCUGGAUGAGAGCAUGCCAAGUGUGUGCAAAGCUGUCAAGGCAAAGGGAGGCUACUUUGAAGAAUCUCAAAUAUAUAAUAUAUUUUGAUAUGUUUAACACCUUUUUUUUGGUUACUACAUGAUUCCAUAUGUGUUAUUUCAAAGUUUUGAUGUUUUCACUAUUAUUGUACAAUUUAGAAAAUAGUCCAAAUAAAGAAACCCAUGAAUGAGUGUCUCUGAACUUUUGACUGUGUGUGUUGCAGUGAUUCGUGGCAGGACGUGGAGAGUUGUGUGCGGUUCUCCUCCCAGCUGUGUGACCUGUCCGAGGCCUUCUCUAACUUCGAGGUGUACAACAUGAUCCGCCUGGGCCUCCACCAGGGCCCGGGGAGUCCAGCCUGGACAGAAAAUCUGGGGUUUGGCGUCCGUGAUUUCAACUUCAGCAGCCCCUCUGUCUUGGUCUCUCUGUCUGGAGAGAUGCUGGGAGUGGAGGUGCACUUACCUUGUUCUAGCAAAAGGGAGUGUCUUCCUCUGCAGAGUUGCUGUCCACUGUCAAAAUUUAUUGACCUCUGGGUCACCGUGACAGUAUAUGACCGGCAGAACCCCUCCGACUACAAGACGCAGAUUGGUUUGGUCCAGACGAUGGUGUAUGGGGCAGAGUUCUCAAACCUGGUCCCAGGACAUGACUACUGUGUCGUGGCUAACUUCUCCAUCAGUCCGGCCACCUUCCCCCAGGCCUCGUCUCCUCCCUCGGACCCCAGUUGUGUCCACCAUGCUGGCCCAGGACUAGGGUUGCAGCCAGUGUUGUUGGGGAUAGGAGUGUGUGCUGUACUCUUCUCUCCUCUCCUUGCUCUGGCUCUGUACCUGCUGAAACAAAAACGAGAUGUACCACACGUAAACAGACUCCCCAAGUCUCUAGCAUCUCUUCAGGCAUUCCUCCAGGACCUACCGGAGUCCCCUUCAGACCCUGUUGACCCCAGUGACAUUGUAGACGACCACCUCUCCAUCCUGUCCUCUUUCUCCAGCUGUGUCUACACCGAGGCCCAGGCCCCAAGCCUGGGUAAUGGGUACAACAGCAACCCCUUCCUCCGUGACUAUAGGUCAGGCAACAUGCACUGGAACACUGAGAGAAUGGAGCUGGACCUGAACUCAGGCAGCACCAUAUCCCUGCCAUGCUCCACUGUGCCUAUAGGCCUGCAUAUGAUCCAGUGCAGCUUUGAUUCACCUCGACAACCACAUCCAGGGCCCAAUGUGCCAGUUCUACCGUACCCUGGUUCUCUAUCUCUGUCAGAGGCCGUGGAGGGCCAGGUGGUCCCGUUGUGUUCUGUGAGGUUUGGGAGGGUGAGUGAUGGGUGUGAGAACCUUGAGGGACUACAGUGGUGUAACCUGUAGCAUGUUGCACUGCAGUACUCACAAUGCCAUGUUUAACAUAUUCCUAUGAACUCCACAGUGCUGAGAGGAGUUCAAAAACUUUAUUGACCAUUUUUGUUGAAAAUUGUAAUUUUUUUCCCUCAGCUUACAGACAUACAUUUUCAGUUCCAACAGGACUGUGGUAUGGUCCAGCACCUUACCAAGGUCAACCAUAACAGGGACAAUACUGGACAGUGCAAUCAUAAACACAUACACUCUUAGAAAAAAGGGUUUCAAAAGGGUUCUUCGGCUGUCCCCAUAGGAGAACCCUUUUCGGAACCAAAACUAUUCUUCCUGGAACCAAAAAGGGUUCUUCAAUGGGUUAUCCUAUGGGGACAGCCGACAAGGUUCUAGAUGGCACCUUUUUUUUUCUAAGGGGGGUUUAUUAUUCUGACUCCCCUUUAAAUUUACUUUGUCUACUGUGCCAAGUGUCUUUUCAGCUCUUUUUCUGUGUCAUAAUAGGUUGUUCUUCCCCCUCUCUCUGCCUUGCUUCUGACUCACUGUUGCCCCAUCCCAUCUCCGGCCUGACCCCCACUGUCUCUUACCCGUGUCUGACAUCUCAUUCUGGGGGAGGAGGGCAGAGGGUAGGGGAACAUCUCUCUCCUGCCUCUUGUUUCACUGGUGGUGCACUUUCCCCGGAACAUUAGAACAUUCGGGGGUAGAGACAGAGGAGACGUUGGAUGGGAAACAGUGAUUGGCCCUAUUGUUCUGGAAACCACAUAGCCUGUGUAUGGCUCAUAAUAAUAUCACUGUCUGGAGGAUUUUGAUUCAUGUAUUCAUGUUGUUGGUCUAAUAUUGGGGUUGGAUCAUGAGUCCAAACUAAGCAGUGUGUUUGCUUGCCAAUCAUAAAUGCUAAUUCUCAGGCAUCCAACAGGUAUCGCAUCUAACCUUGCACUUGGGUUUUUGGAGCAACUUUUAUGGGUUCUGCUGUAUUUGCAGUCAAUUCACCGGAAACCUGAUCCAAAAUGGUCGCUUUGUGGCUCACUCUUCACUGGUGUGUGCUGGCUAGCUCUGCAGCUGAGGUGGUGAAGUUGGAUUGGGGAUUUACGUGGUGUUUGACAGGCAGUAAAAAAUGUUGGGGGGGGCUUGCCUGUUAUGCAUGUUAUUUUGGCAUUAAAUGUCACAUCAGUUUGCAAACAAUGCAAUAAAAAUAAAUCAAUGAGUUAAUAAAGCCGCAUACAAACAAUGGUCUCGUUUUUGCUUUCUAAGGCAGCUCCAAAAUGCAGGUGUUUCAGCCUAGCUCAUUGCUUUCUUUGGUGGUGGGUCAGCCAGUAGAAAAUAUGAAGUGCGGGUUUUGGUAAUGUUCUCUAGUUGCGCCGUGAUUGGCUCAGUGUUCUGUCACUCAUAGGGACACUACGUCACCGCUAAGUCUAAGGGU
This is a long non-coding RNA of Oncorhynchus tshawytscha (Chinook salmon), 5781 nucleotides long. The record is from Ensembl. NCBI's taxonomy places the organism in Eukaryota, Metazoa, Chordata, Actinopteri, Salmoniformes, Salmonidae.